This is an RNA transcript of Aphis gossypii (cotton aphid), 1521 nucleotides long. RefSeq lists it as uncharacterized. The transcript has 4 exons. The record is from RefSeq and is a predicted model, not a curated record. NCBI's taxonomy places the organism in Eukaryota, Metazoa, Arthropoda, Insecta, Hemiptera, Aphididae.
AACAAUUUUUAAUUGCACAGCGAAUAAAAGGACGGCCAAGGGUGUAUGCUUGGAGUUGAUACGAAACAAACAAAAAUUGAAAAAUUGAAAUUGCGUAAAGAGAAACAACAGUCAGUCCUUGAACCAGACAUAACUGGACAUUUGAAAAUUGAUCGACUUCCAGUAAUUGUUAUAACACCGAAUGUAGAACAGUUGUUAAGAGUUCCAAAACUUGAUUCGGAUACGAGAUAUGAAAUAAGUUCUGCUGUAUAUGACACUCUAGAGAAAUGGUCUUUAUUAGACAAAGUACAGGUUUUUGUAUUUGAUACAACUGCUAGUAACACAGGUCGAUUAAACGGUGCAUGUCAAAUAUUAGAGCAAAAACUGAUCGUGAUAUUUUAUACUUGGUAUGUAGGCAUCAUGUGUAUGAAAUAGUUCUGCAAGGUGUAUUUACUGAAGUAAAAUUAGCAACAAGUACAGGGCCAGAUAUUUCAUUAUUUAAAAAGUUCAGAAAAGAAUGGAACACUAUAGAUACAAAUUCAUAUUCAAUAUGGUCUACCGAUAAAAAUUUGAAUGAUAUUUUAAAAGACGUUGCUGACGAAACAAUACAAUUUUGUAUAAAUAAAAUUAAAGAAGAUUUGCCUAGAGAUGACUAUAAAGAAUUUCUUGAAUUAAUAAUAAUAUUUUUAGGAGGUAUGCCAUCAUGGAGGAUACGUUUUAUAGCUCCAGGUGCUUAUCAUCUUGCACUAUGGAUGGCAAAAGCGUUGUAUUGUUUAAAAAUAUUUUUAUUUCGAUAACAAUUCAAAAUUACGCAACGUGAAGAAAAGGCAUUAAAAAGAUUAUGUUGUUUUAUUAUUAAGUGCUAUGCAAAAUCAUGGUUUUUAACUCCAAACGAAAUUACAGCUCCAAUGAAUGAUAUAAUGUUUCUAAAAAAAUUAGAACUGUAUAAAAUAAACGAUAAAGAAGUAGCAGAAAAGCAAUAAUGAAAUUUAUAAAUCAUUUAUGGUAUUUGAGUGAAGAGUGUUCUGCUUUUUCAAUAUUUGAUGAAAGAUUAAGUAUUGACGCACGAUUGAAAAUGGCUGAAAAAUUUUGCAAGAACAACCUGAAAGAGAACCACAAAAAAAUUACAUUGUGAAGUUUGAAGAUGUACAACACUUUCUCGAUAAAGAUUUACCUUUGGAUUUGUUAGGUCCCAAUUCCAAAAAUGUAUUCAAAAGAUUCAAUAUUCCUGAAGAUUUUUUAAAAGUUCAACCAGAAAAGUGGCAUGAAUUAGAAGAGUACCAGAAAGGAAAAAGCAUAUUAAAUUCAAUAAAGGCAGUCAAUGAUAUGGCAGAACGAGGAGUCUAACUUAUGCAAGAAUAUAACGACAAGUUUAUAACAAAUGAAAAUCAAAAACAAUUUGUUUUACAGGUGGUUCAAGAUUACAGAAAACAAUAUCCUGAAUUUACUCGAUAUACUCUUAAGAAACCAUAUACCUACUUAACGGUAUCGUUCAUGGUCACAUACGACAUCAUCGCACACGUGCUAACAAUUUCACAGGAA